AGAGUUUGAUCAUGGCUCAGAACGAACGCUGGCGGCAUGCCUAACACAUGCAAGUCGAACGCGUGUAGCAAUACACGAGUGGCGCACGGGUGAGUAACGCGUGGGAACCUGCCCAGUGGUAGGGAAUAACUGCGGGAAACUGCAGCUAAUACCCUAUACGCCCUACGGGGGAAAGUUUUUCGCCAUUGGAGGGGCCCGCGUCGGAUUAGCUAGUUGGUGAGGUAAGAGCUUACCAAGGCGACGAUCCGUAGCUGGUCUGAGAGGAUGAUCAGCCACACUGGGACUGAGACACGGCCCAGACUCCUACGGGAGGCAGCAGUGGGGAAUAUUGGACAAUGGGGGAAACCCUGAUCCAGCAAUGCCGCGUGAGUGAUGAAGGCCUUAGGGUUGUAAAGCUCUUUCGACGGGGACGAUGAUGACGGUACCCGUAGAAGAGCC
RNAcentral lists this ribosomal RNA (438 nucleotides) under uncultured Tistrella sp. RNAcentral describes it as "bacterial SSU rRNA". It matches the Rfam family "Bacterial small subunit ribosomal RNA", at positions 8 to 491 of the family's 1533-position model. Lineage: Bacteria; Pseudomonadati; Pseudomonadota; Alphaproteobacteria; Geminicoccales; Geminicoccaceae. The record is from RNAcentral.